Molecule: ribosomal RNA, 377 nt
Filed under: uncultured eukaryote
Lineage: Eukaryota
Description: partial 18S ribosomal RNA
Rfam family: Eukaryotic small subunit ribosomal RNA
Source: RNAcentral
CAAUAGCGUAUAUUAAAGUUGUUGCAGUUAAAAAGCUCGUAGUUGGAUUUCGGGGUGGCCUGCCUGGUCCACCGCAAGGUGAGUACUGGUCAGCCGCCCUUCCUCUCGAAAGCCCCGACUGCUCUUCAUUGCAGUGGUCGGGUAGUUCGGGACGUUUACUUUGAAAAAAUUAGAGUGUUCAAGGCAGGCUAUCGCCUGAAUACAUUAGCAUGGAAUAAUGGAAGAGGACCUCGGUCCUAUUUUGUUGGUUUCUAGGGCCGAAGUAAUGAUUAAUAGGGAUAGUUGGGGGUAUUCGUAUUCUAUUGCUAGGGGUGAAAUUCUUAAAUUUAUGGAAGACGAACUACUGCGAAAGCAUUUACCAAGGAUGUUUUCAUUAA